GGAUGAUAAANUAGCUGNCCGGGCAAUUGGUGNUUAGGNUGGCGCAGCUAACGCAUUAAGUUAUCCGCCUGGGGAGUACGNCCGCAAGGUUAAAANUCAAAGGAAUUGACGGGGACCUUGCACAAGCGGUGGAGCAUGUGGUUUAAUUNGAAGCAACGCGCAGAACCUUACCAGCGUUUGACAUGGUAGGACGACUUCCAGAGAUGGAUUUCUUCCCUUCGNGGACCUACACACAGGUGCUGCAUGGCUGUCGUCAGCUCGUGUCGUGAGAUGUUGGGUUAAGUCCCGCAACGAGCGCAACCCUCGCCUUUAGUUACCAUCAUUUGGUUGGGUACUCUAAAGGAACCGCCGGUGAUAAGCCGGAGGAAGGUGGGGAUGACGUCAAGUCCUCAUGGCCCUUACGCGCUGGGCUACACACGUGCUACAAUGGCAACUACAGUGGGCAGCGACCCUGCGAGGGCGAGCUAAUCCCCAAAAGUUGUCUCAGUUCGGAUUGUUCUCUGCAACUCGAGAGCAUGGAGGCGGAAUCGCUAGUAAUCGCGGAUCAGCAUGCCGCGGUGAAUACGUUCCCAGGCCUUGUACACACCGCCCGUCACACCAUGGGAGUUGGAUUCACCCGAAGGCGUUGCGCCAACCUAGCAAUAGGAAGCAGGCGACCACGGUGGGUUCAGCGACUGGGGUGAAGUCGUAACAAGGUAGCCGUAG
This 705-nucleotide ribosomal RNA is filed under the name uncultured bacterium. RNAcentral's name for it is "bacterial SSU rRNA". It matches the Rfam family "Bacterial small subunit ribosomal RNA", at positions 801 to 1505 of the family's 1533-position model. The record is from RNAcentral.